CCUACGGGAGGCAGCAGUGGGGAAUAUUGGACAAUGGGGGCAACCCUGAUCCAGCCAUGCCGCGUGUGUGAAGAAGGCCCUCGGGUUGUAAAGCACUUUCAGUGAGGAAGAACGCCUGGUGGUUAAUACCCAUCAGGAAAGACAUCACUCACAGAAGAAGCACCGGCUAACUCCGUGCCAGCAGCCGCGGUAAUACGGAGGGUGCGAGCGUUAAUCGGAAUUACUGGGCGUAAAGCGCGCGUAGGUGGCUUGAUAAGCCGGUUGUGAAAGCCCCGGGCUCAACCCGGGAACGGCAUCCGGAACUGUCAAGCUAGAGUGCAGGAGAGGAAGGUAGAAUUCCCGGUGUAGCGGUGAAAUGCGUAGAGAUCGGGAGGAAUACCAGUGGCGAAGGCGGCCUUCUGGACUGACACUGACACUGAGGUGCGAAAGCGUGGGUAGCAAACAGGAUUAGAUACCCCUGUAGUC
RNAcentral lists this ribosomal RNA (465 nucleotides) under Vreelandella stevensii. RNAcentral describes it as "partial 16S ribosomal RNA". It matches the Rfam family "Bacterial small subunit ribosomal RNA", at positions 338 to 795 of the family's 1533-position model. Lineage: Bacteria; Pseudomonadati; Pseudomonadota; Gammaproteobacteria; Oceanospirillales; Halomonadaceae. The record is from RNAcentral.